AAGAACUGAAGGAGAAGCUCAAAGCUAAGGAACGUGAGUUUGAGCGCAUAUGUGAAAAUCAUUUAACUGAAGAACUGAAGGAGAAGCUCAAAGCUAAGGAUCGUGAGGUUGAGGCUCAGGAUAAGAUGAUAAGUAACCUCAAAAAGAAACUGAAGAAAAAGUAAAAGACUUACCGUUUAAUCAUCAUCCGUAUCAGAUACUAUUUUAUUCCAAAUUUUUAUUUUUAUCAGUUGAGAAACUCGACAGAUUUUGUAUUGUAUUCGAUGAAACCAGUGCACACCAAACUAUUUAUUUUGAUAUCUUAAGGUGAAGAAAGAAUAUGAAGUGAAAACUCAGCCUAUUCGUUUUAAAUCCUUCAACGAGUUGCUGAUACCAUCAAAAGCUUUUGAUUCUUGUUUCUUACUAGAGGGUAGAGGCCGAGUCUGACCACAGUGUCCUCUUUGAUGCCCACUGUUAUUUCUAAAGGCGAGUUUAUGAUCCAGCUGUUUACAAGUAAAAAAGAUUGCAAAGUCAAGAUGAGAUUGUGAUGAGAGUUUUGCACUUAUUUUGCUUAGUAGAAGAAGAAACUUACCCAGGUGGGACCUUGCUAUCAGCUCUGGAAGGAUCCUUGACCAAGGACAAAGGACUAUCAUCAAUGUUGGUUUAUCAUCAACAGAUUCCUUCCAAAGCAACCUUGAGUUUCAACACAAACCCUGACCAUUCCAUCUUGCAUAAAUCGCAGUCUUGGUGGCAUAAGGGAGAUUAAAAACGUGCCACCCCACAAGUUGCCAGAUGAAUCAGAACUAGGACCCUGGAUUGGCAUUGACAAAGGGUUGCCUUGUUGAUUCGUCUUCAAGACUCUGAUGAUAACUCAUCAGCAUUACCAGAGUGAGCACGGAUAAAGCACCAAACCAUUUCACAUUCUGAAUCUCAUCGAAGAGCUCCAUGCUAUGCAUGUUGCUAUCAUCAGCAAUCCCAUCUAACUUCUCCUCUAUCACGAAAGUCGAGUCUACCUCAACCUAGACGGCUGUGCUUAUGGUGGUUCUGGGUCCAGGGCCCUCUACAGAUUACAAUAUCCAUAGCCUCCUCCUCUCCUCAAACUAGAAUCUCGCCAAAUAACUACAUGUCAUGUUUUUGAUCAAUAAAAAAAAAACUUACAUGUCAUGUUAAAUUAUUCAUUUUAUUGUUCCGAAGAAUGUUUAUUUGUUAUUUUAUUUCUCUCUGUUUCUGAAUGUUUGAUCAAAUGAAUGAAUUGUCAUGGGGGUUAUUUAUAAGAUGUAACCAGGAUUACAAAAAUACCAGUCGUCUACGUAUGUAUGUAGUAUAAAUUAAUCACACGCCCGGUUACAGUUGAAUUUAGUAAUUUUAUUAUCUAAUAUACAAUAAAUUAUAUAAAAAGGUUCAAUUCUUACCAUUUAAAAGUUUUUUAAUAUUUAUUUGUUAUUUUAUAAAAUUUUAAACUUUAAUCCCAAAUAUUCAACCCUCAACUACUAGCUCUAAAUCAUAAAGUUAGGGAUGUAAGUGUAUAUUCAUAUUUUUAAUAAAAGAUUAGGGUCAUUUUUGAUGCUCGGAGAUAAGAGUAUUAAUAAAGAAAAGGGCAUAAUGGUAAUUAAAAGAUGAAGCAACCGCCAAGAAAUCUAUUAUAUAAUAGGAGAGUUUCUCUCCUCCUGAUGCGACACGUCAGCAGUUUGUGGGUCCUACUUUUUAAAAGUGCGAAAAAAUGUCAAAUAUGUGAUUUGAACUCGGGUUACUGAGAUAUAAGCACCCACAACUAUACCAUUGCACUAAAGGAUACUUUGUACAUUGAUGGUCGAAACUAAUAUAUAUUAUAAAGGUCGGAAACUAAUAUAACAUUCUGGACCCUACUUUUUUUUUUUUAAUUGAUGGGUAACGAAUGGACUUCGACAAAAAGUGGGUUUUGGGCUUAUUGAUUUUCUGUUUAUUAGGCUUUGUAUCUGCCCAAAGUGGUGAUACGGACAAAGCUAAGAAGAUUAGGGAAGCCGCCAUCUUCACCAUCUCCUUCGUCGCUUGCGAUUCCCCUUUCGGCAAUCAGCUAUUAUGGUCGAUCUUUAAGGCUUUACGCACGUUUUGCGCCUACCAAACGCUUAGUUUCUCCUCUAAUGCCUUCAGAGCUCUCAUAUAUAUAGAAUCCCUCGAGGUAAAAGCUCCAUCUUGUCUCAAACUUUUCUUUCUCAGUUUUCCGAUCGCUUUACUUUCUCACAUCCGUCACGAAAAAUGACUUAUCCAGCUGCUCCAGCCGCUUUAGCCGCCGUUCCCUACUCCACCUUCAACUCUCUCCGCCUUGGAAGGUCCACUCAGUCCAUUGUUGGUCGGUUCAUCCGAUUCUAGGAUUCCAGGAACAUUAACAAGAAUGCAGAGUUUAUGGGCAUCACCAUUCUCCUCUUUGAUGAACUGGUGAUGAUUGUUUCUAACUUAUUUUUUAUCACUUUAACUCUGCUUUGCUUAUUCUUUGUUCAUAUAUGAAACGUGUCUUCAUUUUUUUGUUUUGGUUUUGUCUAUGGGUUUUUUUAUUAACAACUUAUGAUUUUUCUCUGUUUUUCUUACAGAUUCUGUGAUCUACGGUUUCAUCCCUGCAAUCUCCAAACAAAAUAGGAAAACUGAAUGAAUUAUGUUUUUAGCAACCGAAUUUAAAAGAAAUAAAAGACAUCUUACUUAACAAAUUAAAACCUUUUCUUUUGCAGAUUCCAACGACGACGAAGCACCCGAGGACCAACGACAAUGGAAUGAUGCGGACGAAGCCUAACUGAUGUAAGUAAACUCCUCUUCAAUAACGCAUCACACUAUUAUCGCUCCCCAAUCUCACAAACUUAAGCUCUAAUCAUGCCAGGGAUCCCACAGGUGAUGCUGUCCCGACGACGGAGAAAAAAAAAGAAAGAUAACCUAACGUUUUUUUAUUUUCAGUUUUUAAGUUCAAAUCAUGUUUUAGACAUAGAGCCCAACAUAAUUUGAGCCCAAACAUUUUAAACCCACAAUUACUUUUUCAUAAUGUAAAAACGUCAACCUUCGUUUAUGUUUUGUUAAACUAUUUUAAUCUUUAUGUUUUGUUAAACUAUUUCACACAGGGGGCAGAUCUCCUUAGAAGGGGAGCCACUCGCCACGAUGCUUCCAGUUUCACCAUUCUUGAAACUCUUAUGAACCACAAAGCCAAUAUAAGAGCUCUGUUUCAAUCCAACCUAUUUUAGUUGGUCACGGUUUGCACUAUUGUCUUCAAGGUUAGCUAGCUAGCAAGACUCUCCAAAAUUGUCUCUUUAUAGUUUUUAUUGUGCUUACGCGUUAGUUUCUGUGAUCAUAGUGUUGAAGGUAGAUCAUGCGAGAGUAAUCGAUACCUCUCUUGUCUUCAAUUAUACCGGUGCCUACAGUUCUCGAACACCUUCUUUGUUAAAUCUAUGCAAGGCAAGCUUGUGAACCCUUUAUUACUAACUUGGAGUUAAGUAUAACAUUUUGAUAAAUCCUGUUGUGGUGUAAUUGCUCCAGUCUGUUUUGGAUGAGGAGCUGCGAAUGGAGGGUGCUGCUCACAAUUGCGUUCACGACGCUGCCGCUGCUAUGAAGCUUGUGCUUGCUGUUGUGGAGAAAGGAGCAGAGACCUCGUUCCCACCAACUGAAAAAGUAAGACUGUUACUAUUCAACUAAAUUCCAAUUUUUUUUAAAAAAAAAUGUGUAUAUAGUUUUCUGAAACGCAAUGCAUCCAUAUCAGAUGUUGGAGGUUGAGAAGACAAUGCAGGAGGCGAAGAAGGCAAGUCUCUAUCUUCAUAGGAUCCCUCAUAGUGUUCCUUCUGAAGAGUUAAAUGGAGUUAUUACGGGAGAUUUCAAAGUCGAGGUUAAGGUAAUGGUUAUUGUAUACCCCACCCCAAUAUGCUAAUGUAAUGUUUUCCUUCUCACUAGGAAACUGAGGAUCAUGUUUUGUUUUUUUUGGGCAGCCACCAAAGAAUCUAGGACCUUAUUAUAGCGCAGAAGUUGUUUUUAGUAGUCAAGAGGAAGCAAAUCAAGCAUUUGAUAACGUUGAUGGAGAUAUAGUUGAGGUAUUUUGGAUCAUCUCUCUCUCUCUCUCUCUCUCUGCUCAUGUUCAGGAUCUGUAGCAAUCUUUAGAAAACCUAUAUGAUAUGUGUAUGCCAUCUCUUUCUUUCAGGAAAAAAUGGGUUUGUCACAAAAAAUGGUUGAGUUUAAGAUGAUGAGUUCUGGAUCAGUAUCUAGACUAUACAUUCGUAAAAAUGUUCAAGACAGUGAAGUCUCUGCCAAGAAGAGAAGUAACACAGAGGAGAUCAAAGUGAGUUCUAAGAGACAGAAGAGGGAGAAUGAUGCUGAGGAGAUAAGAGAAGAGAGUGUAAACCAUUGCAGCAGCCGAGAGAGCAAAUGUGAAAAUCAUAUAAAGGAAAUUGAAGAACUGAAGGAGAAUCAUAGAAAGGAAAUUGAAGAACUGAAGGAGAAUCACAUAAAGGAAACUGAAGAACUGAAGGAGAAGCUCAAAGCUAAGGAACGUGAGUUUGAGCGCAUAUGUGAAAAUCAUUUAACUGAAGAACUGAAGGAGAAGCUCAAAGCUAAGGAUCGUGAGGUUGAGGCUCAGGAUAAGAUGAUAAGUAACCUCAAAAAGAAACUGAAGAAAAAGUAAAAGACUUACCGUUUAAUCAUCAUCCGUAUCAGAUACUAUUUUAUUCCAAAUUUUUAUUUUUAUCAGUUGAGAAACUCGACAGAUUUUGUAUUGUAUUCGAUGAAACCAGUGCACACCAAAC
Molecule: long non-coding RNA, 4727 nt
Filed under: Brassica napus (rape)
Lineage: Eukaryota; Viridiplantae; Streptophyta; Magnoliopsida; Brassicales; Brassicaceae
Description: long non-coding RNA (BNAP_LNC006010)
Source: RNAcentral